RNAcentral lists this ribosomal RNA (2904 nucleotides) under Escherichia coli. Its description in RNAcentral is "bacterial LSU rRNA". It matches the Rfam family "Bacterial large subunit ribosomal RNA". The record is from RNAcentral. Lineage: Bacteria; Pseudomonadati; Pseudomonadota; Gammaproteobacteria; Enterobacterales; Enterobacteriaceae.
UUAAGCGACUAAGCGUACACGGUGGAUGCCCUGGCAGUCAGAGGCGAUGAAGGACGUGCUAAUCUGCGAUAAGCGUCGGUAAGGUGAUAUGAACCGUUAUAACCGGCGAUUUCCGAAUGGGGAAACCCAGUGUGUUUCGACACACUAUCAUUAACUGAAUCCAUAGGUUAAUGAGGCGAACCGGGGGAACUGAAACAUCUAAGUACCCCGAGGAAAAGAAAUCAACCGAGAUUCCCCCAGUAGCGGCGAGCGAACGGGGAGGAGCCCAGAGCCUGAAUCAGUGUGUGUGUUAGUGGAAGCGUCUGGAAAGGCGCGCGAUACAGGGUGACAGCCCCGUACACAAAAAUGCACAUGCUGUGAGCUCGAUGAGUAGGGCGGGACACGUGGUAUCCUGUCUGAAUAUGGGGGGACCAUCCUCCAAGGCUAAAUACUCCUGACUGACCGAUAGUGAACCAGUACCGUGAGGGAAAGGCGAAAAGAACCCCGGCGAGGGGAGUGAAAAAGAACCUGAAACCGUGUACGUACAAGCAGUGGGAGCACAGAGCAAUCUGUGUGACUGCGUACCUUUUGUAUAAUGGGUCAGCGACUUAUAUUCUGUAGCAAGGUUAACCGAAUAGGGGAGCCGAAGGGAAACCGAGUCUUAACUGGGCGUUAAGUUGCAGGGUAUAGACCCGAAACCCGGUGAUCUAGCCAUGGGCAGGUUGAAGGUUGGGUAACACUAACUGGAGGACCGAACCGACUAAUGUUGAAAAAUUAGCGGAUGACUUGUGGCUGGGGGUGAAAGGCCAAUCAAACCGGGAGAUAGCUGGUUCUCCCCGAAAGCUAUUUAGGUAGCGCCUCGUGAAUUCAUCUCCGGGGGUAGAGCACUGUUUCGGCAAGGGGGUCAUCCCGACUUACCAACCCGAUGCAAACUGCGAAUACCGGAGAAUGUUAUCACGGGAGACACACGGCGGGUGCUAACGUCCGUCGUGAAGAGGGAAACAACCCAGACCGCCAGCUAAGGUCCCAAAGUCAUGGUUAAGUGGGAAACGAUGUGGGAAGGCCCAGACAGCCAGGAUGUUGGCUUAGAAGCAGCCAUCAUUUAAAGAAAGCGUAAUAGCUCACUGGUCGAGUCGGCCUGCGCGGAAGAUGUAACGGGGCUAAACCAUGCACCGAAGCUGCGGCAGCGACGCUUAUGCGUUGUUGGGUAGGGGAGCGUUCUGUAAGCCUGUGAAGGUGUACUGUGAGGUAUGCUGGAGGUAUCAGAAGUGCGAAUGCUGACAUAAGUAACGAUAAAGCGGGUGAAAAGCCCGCUCGCCGGAAGACCAAGGGUUCCUGUCCAACGUUAAUCGGGGCAGGGUGAGUCGACCCCUAAGGCGAGGCCGAAAGGCGUAGUCGAUGGGAAACAGGUUAAUAUUCCUGUACUUGGUGUUACUGCGAAGGGGGGACGGAGAAGGCUAUGUUGGCCGGGCGACGGUUGUCCCGGUUUAAGCGUGUAGGCUGGUUUUCCAGGCAAAUCCGGAAAAUCAAGGCUGAGGCGUGAUGACGAGGCACUACGGUGCUGAAGCAACAAAUGCCCUGCUUCCAGGAAAAGCCUCUAAGCAUCAGGUAACAUCAAAUCGUACCCCAAACCGACACAGGUGGUCAGGUAGAGAAUACCAAGGCGCUUGAGAGAACUCGGGUGAAGGAACUAGGCAAAAUGGUGCCGUAACUUCGGGAGAAGGCACGCUGAUAUGUAGGUGAAGUCCCUCGCGGAUGGAGCUGAAAUCAGUCGAAGAUACCAGCUGGCUGCAACUGUUUAUUAAAAACACAGCACUGUGCAAACACGAAAGUGGACGUAUACGGUGUGACGCCUGCCCGGUGCCGGAAGGUUAAUUGAUGGGGUUAGCGCAAGCGAAGCUCUUGAUCGAAGCCCCGGUAAACGGCGGCCGUAACUAUAACGGUCCUAAGGUAGCGAAAUUCCUUGUCGGGUAAGUUCCGACCUGCACGAAUGGCGUAAUGAUGGCCAGGCUGUCUCCACCCGAGACUCAGUGAAAUUGAACUCGCUGUGAAGAUGCAGUGUACCCGCGGCAAGACGGAAAGACCCCGUGAACCUUUACUAUAGCUUGACACUGAACAUUGAGCCUUGAUGUGUAGGAUAGGUGGGAGGCUUUGAAGUGUGGACGCCAGUCUGCAUGGAGCCGACCUUGAAAUACCACCCUUUAAUGUUUGAUGUUCUAACGUUGACCCGUGAUCCGGGUUGCGGACAGUGUCUGGUGGGUAGUUUGACUGGGGCGGUCUCCUCCUAAAGAGUAACGGAGGAGCACGAAGGUUGGCUAAUCCUGGUCGGACAUCAGGAGGUUAGUGCAAUGGCAUAAGCCAGCUUGACUGCGAGCGUGACGGCGCGAGCAGGUGCGAAAGCAGGUCAUAGUGAUCCGGUGGUUCUGAAUGGAAGGGCCAUCGCUCAACGGAUAAAAGGUACUCCGGGGAUAACAGGCUGAUACCGCCCAAGAGUUCAUAUCGACGGCGGUGUUUGGCACCUCGAUGUCGGCUCAUCACAUCCUGGGGCUGAAGUAGGUCCCAAGGGUAUGGCUGUUCGCCAUUUAAAGUGGUACGCGAGCUGGGUUUAGAACGUCGUGAGACAGUUCGGUCCCUAUCUGCCGUGGGCGCUGGAGAACUGAGGGGGGCUGCUCCUAGUACGAGAGGACCGGAGUGGACGCAUCACUGGUGUUCGGGUUGUCAUGCCAAUGGCACUGCCCGGUAGCUAAAUGCGGAAGAGAUAAGUGCUGAAAGCAUCUAAGCACGAAACUUGCCCCGAGAUGAGUUCUCCCUGACCCUUUAAGGGUCCUGAAGGAACGUUGAAGACGACGACGUUGAUAGGCCGGGUGUGUAAGCGCAGCGAUGCGUUGAGCUAACCGGUACUAAUGAACCGUGAGGCUUAACCUU